This 672-nucleotide long non-coding RNA is filed under the name Nicotiana benthamiana. RNAcentral describes it as "long non-coding RNA (NBEN_LNC015532)". The record is from RNAcentral. Lineage: Eukaryota; Viridiplantae; Streptophyta; Magnoliopsida; Solanales; Solanaceae.
AAUAUAUCAGUAUGAAUUUAUCAAAAUAACACCUUAACCUAACCUCAUGCAUCUCCCCAGUUUACCCUAAAACAACAAAUUAUUGUACUUGCAAUUCUUUUUCCCCACCACAAGAUAUUUCGUCCACUAUAAUGGACUUUUCUUAUUCCCUUAAUAUAAUAUAGUAGCUGCUACAUGUCAACAUAAAGUCGUUUUCACCUUGGAUUUUUUUUGUGGUUGAUAAUGUCUAUAUACAUAUACAUUUACAAUGUGAUGUCCGUGACGGAGGCGGAUUGAUGAGGGCGGGUCAAGCAAAACUGAUAGACUUAUGGCCUAGCAAAUUUAUGAAGAAGCGAUGCACAUGGCAUGUUACAUCGGAAAAAGAGAAAAAAGUGAAGAUCGUUUUAUAUGACACAAGCUCAUAUAGUACGCGCGCUUUUGGGGCUCGAUACAUGUGAUGUAGCCUGAAAGAUAACUAUAUGCGAUCCUAGAGCUAAAGCAGACAAUACGUGCAUGCCAUAGGAUUGAGUCGUGAUAAAUAUAUAUACUAACGUUAGUGGCAUUUAGAAAUAGAGUGAUGAAUUAUAGAUGCAAGAAUCAUACGAUUGAUCUCAGUUUUGAGAUUUAGCAUAUUUGAUAAUUGAUUAAUAAAUGAUGUAAGAUUAAGUAUUGAAAAUAUAUUUUCAAUUUAGC